Molecule: ribosomal RNA, 253 nt
Filed under: uncultured bacterium
Lineage: Bacteria
Description: partial 16S ribosomal RNA
Rfam family: Bacterial small subunit ribosomal RNA
Source: RNAcentral
GACGUAGGGCGCGAGCGUUGUCCGGAUUUAUUGGGCGUAAAGAGCUCGUAGGCGGCUUGUCGCGUCGACUGUGAAAACCCGCGGCUCAACUGCGGGCCUGCAGUCGAUACGGGCAGGCUAGAGUUCGGUAGGGGAGACUGGAAUUCCUGGUGUAGCGGUGAAAUGCGCAGAUAUCAGGAGGAACACCGGUGGCGAAGGCAGCUCGCUGGGACGUUACUGACGCUGAGACGCGAAAGCGUGGGGAGCAAACAGG